GACGAACGCUGGCGGCGUGCUUAACACAUGCAAGUCGAACGGAAAGGCCCUGCUUUUGUGGGGUGCUCGAGUGGCGAACGGGUGAGUAACACGUGAGUAACCUGCCCUUGACUUUGGGAUAACUUCAGGAAACUGGGGCUAAUACCGGAUAGGAGCUCCUGCUGCAUGGUGGGGGUUGGAAAGUUUCGGCGGUUGGGGAUGGACUCGCGGCUUAUCAGCUUGUUGGUGGGGUAGUGGCUUACCAAGGCUUUGACGGGUAGCCGGCCUGUGAGGGUGACCGGCGACAUUGGGACUGAGAGACGGCCCAGACUCCUACGGGAGGCAGCAGGGGGGAGUAUGGCACAAUGGGCGGAAGCCUGAGGCGGCAACGCCGCGUGCGGGAUGACGGCCUUCGGGUGGUAAACCGCUUUCGCCUGUGACGAAGCGUGAGUGACGGUAAUGGGUAAAGAAGCACCGGCUAACUACGUG
RNAcentral lists this ribosomal RNA (468 nucleotides) under uncultured bacterium. RNAcentral's name for it is "partial 16S ribosomal RNA". It matches the Rfam family "Bacterial small subunit ribosomal RNA", at positions 28 to 507 of the family's 1533-position model. The record is from RNAcentral.